RNAcentral lists this transfer RNA (56 nucleotides) under Cyclosa japonica. Its description in RNAcentral is "tRNA-Met". The record is from RNAcentral. Lineage: Eukaryota; Metazoa; Arthropoda; Arachnida; Araneae; Araneidae.
AUAUAUGUCAGCUAAAUAAGCUAAUGGGUUCAUACCUCAUAAAUGAAUUAUUUUUG